UUUCCGUAGGUGAACCUGCGGAAGGAUCAUUAUUGAAAUAAAAACUUGGUUGGGGGUUGCUGCUGGCUCUCAGGAGCAUGUGCACACUCGCUCCAUUUUUUAAUACCACCUGUGCACACACUGUAGGCCUGAAUGAACUUUUUCGAGGUUUAAAAACUUUGGUUUGAGAACUGCCCUUGGGCUGUUCUUGUGUUCCCAGGUCUAUGUUUUAAACAAUACACUCCAUAACAAGUAAUAGAAUGUCAAAUUAUGGGCCUUUUGUGCCUUUAAACCUAAUACAACUUUCAACAACGGAUCUCUUGGCUCUC
This 308-nucleotide unclassified non-coding RNA is filed under the name plant metagenome. Its description in RNAcentral is "partial contains small subunit ribosomal RNA, internal transcribed spacer 1, and 5.8S ribosomal RNA". The record is from RNAcentral.